CAGCCGCCGCGGUAAUACGUAGGUCCCGAGCGUUGUCCGGAUUUAUUGGGCGUAAAGCGAGCGCAGGCGGUUAGAUAAGUCUGAAGUUAAAGGCUGUGGCUUAACCAUAGUACGCUUUGGAAACUGUUUAACUUGAGUGCAAGAGGGGAGAGUGGAAUUCCAUGUGUAGCGGUGAAAUGCGUAGAUAUAUGGAGGAACACCGGUGGCGAAAGCGGCUCUCUGGCUUGUAACUGACGCUGAGGCUCGAAAGCGUGGGGAGCAAACAAGAUUAGAUACCCGUGUAGUCCCUGUCUCUUAUACA
Molecule: ribosomal RNA, 301 nt
Filed under: uncultured bacterium
Lineage: Bacteria
Description: partial 16S ribosomal RNA
Rfam family: Bacterial small subunit ribosomal RNA
Source: RNAcentral